RNAcentral lists this ribosomal RNA (151 nucleotides) under Latrodectus hasseltii (redback spider). RNAcentral describes it as "partial 18S ribosomal RNA". It matches the Rfam family "Eukaryotic small subunit ribosomal RNA", at positions 1688 to 1831 of the family's 1831-position model. The record is from RNAcentral. Lineage: Eukaryota; Metazoa; Arthropoda; Arachnida; Araneae; Theridiidae. RNAcentral also lists the same sequence under 1 other name.
AUGAAUGAUUUAGUGAGGUCUUCGGACUGGCGCUCGGAUUGGCCUCCGGGUCGAGCCGAGUGCCGGAAAGAUGACCAAACUUGAUCAUUUAGAAGAAAUAAAAGUCGUAACAAGGUCUCCGUAGGUGAACCUGCGGAGGGAUCAUUACCGA